GACGAACGCUGGCGGCGUGCUUAACACAUGCAAGUCGAGCGGUAAGGCCCUUUCGGGGGUACACGAGCGGCGAACGGGUGAGUAACACGUGGGUGACCUGCCCUCAGCUCUGGGAUAAGCCUGGGAAACUGGGUCUAAUACUGGAUAUGACUCCACGGUGCAUGUCGUGGGGUGGAAAGCCUUGUGCGGCUGAGGAUGGGCCCGCGGCCUAUCAGCUUGUUGGUGGGGUGANGGCCUACCAAGGCGACGACGGGUAGCCGGCCUGAGAGGGCGACCGGCCACAC
Molecule: ribosomal RNA, 284 nt
Filed under: uncultured bacterium
Lineage: Bacteria
Description: partial 16S ribosomal RNA
Rfam family: Bacterial small subunit ribosomal RNA
Source: RNAcentral